Molecule: ribosomal RNA, 512 nt
Filed under: uncultured bacterium
Lineage: Bacteria
Description: bacterial SSU rRNA
Rfam family: Bacterial small subunit ribosomal RNA
Source: RNAcentral
AGAGUUUGAUUCUGGCUCAGGAUGAACGCUAGCGGCAGGCCUAAUACAUGCAAGUCGAACGGUAAACGCCCUUCGGGGGUGUGAGAGUGGCGCACGGGUGCGUAACGCGUAUGCAACCCACCCGCUGCCGGGGGAUAGCCCGGAGAAAUCCGAAUUAAUACCCCAUGAGGAGGAGAUGAGGCAUCUCAUCUUUUUCAAAACUUCGGUGGCGGCGGACGGGCAUGCGUGCCAUUAGAUAGUUGGCGGGGUGACGGCCCACCAAGUCGACGAUGGCUAGGGGAUCUGAGAGGACGGUCCCCCACACUGGUACUGAGACACGGACCAGACUCCUACGGGAGGCAGCAGUAAGGGAUAUUGGUCAAUGGGGGGAACCCUGAACCAGCCCAUGCCGCGUGAGGGAAUAAGGCCCUACGGGUCGUAAACCUCUUUUGCCGGGGGAUAAGGACACCUACGUGUAGGUGUUUGAAGGUACCCGGAGAAUAAGCAUCGGCUAACUCCGUGCCAGCAGCCGC